AAACGCAAAGAUAAAAACGCAACGUAAGCGAUCCCGCUUACAGAGCCGGUAGGUAGCCCGGCCCCAUCGCAAGAUGGAAGUAACCUUCCCUCCUUCGGGUUGUCCGUUCUUUGUUCAUAACUU
Holdemania filiformis DSM 12042 is the source of this 123-nucleotide non-coding RNA. Lineage: Bacteria; Bacillati; Bacillota; Erysipelotrichia; Erysipelotrichales; Erysipelotrichaceae. The record is from Rfam.